CGGGUGAGUAACGCGUGAGGAACCUGCCUCAGAGAGGGGGAUAACACACCGAAAGGUGUGCUAAUACCGCAUAACAUAUGAGAGGGGCAUCCCUUUCAUAUCAAAGAUUUAUUGCUCUGAGAUGGCCUCGCGUCCAAUUAGCUAGUUGGUGAGGUAACGGCCCACCAAGGCGACGAUUGGUAGCCGGACUGAGAGGUUGAACGGCCACAUUGGGACUGAGACACGGCCCAGACUCCUACGGAAGGCAGCAG
This 251-nucleotide ribosomal RNA is filed under the name uncultured bacterium. RNAcentral describes it as "partial 16S ribosomal RNA". It matches the Rfam family "Bacterial small subunit ribosomal RNA", at positions 103 to 354 of the family's 1533-position model. The record is from RNAcentral.